GUACACGUACGCGCUUAGCCACGCACGCCUUCCGCGCUGCGCGCCGACUCACUGACGCCGCGCCCGCCCACGUGCCGGUGGCCUGCGGCUGCUUUGCCCUUACCGUUUUUGGUCCUGUGCGUAUCUCUCGUUCUCCAGUGAGCGCGCCGGGCGCACUAUACUGCUAGUCCCUUCUGCCCCUCAUCCCCAUCCCGCGUUGGUUCGCCUUGUGGCUCGCACAGGCCUCAAAGACGAUCCGCCUUCCCACCGCUUUUGCCCCCCCCCCCCCCCCCCCCCCACACACACACACACACACACACAAGUUGUACCCUCGGGCGCUGAACGUCUCUUUGGCAGCUGAGUCGUUGCACCAAUGGGCGUCCCCAAGUUCGCGGCAUGGUUGACGAGGAAGUACCCAUCCAUGGUGAUGGACAGCUGCCCUGGCGAUGUGCACGGCCUCUAUAUCGAUCUCAACGGGCUCAUUCAUCCCUGCUGCCACGACGAGCACGACCCGUCUGUCGCCCUACGUACGCAGGGGGAGAAGCUGCGCAGCAUCUGCCUCGCCAUCGAAACGCUUGUCGUAACGGUGCGUCCGCAGCAUGUCAUCUACAUCGCCGUGGACGGCGUUGUGCCGCGUGCCAAGAUGAACCAGCAGCGCGCGCGGCGGUACAUGAGCUCCGCCGCACCGCUCACAGACACGGACAAGCCGAUUCACGGCGGCGGCCACGAGUUGAGUGCGACCAUUGUCGCGGCGAUCGAGAAGGAGUUCACGCAAGCAGAGUGCGACGGGGUGGAGCGUGAGUUGGCGGAUGUGAGCCAGGCACUUAUGGGAGAUGUGCUGUAUGGCGGUUGCGCAACGAUGGCGCUGGCGGAGGACGCGACCGAGAAGGCGGAGGCCCAUACGCUGGGCGCGGCGCCAUGGACUACUGCGCUGACCUUGGCAAGCGAAGGUGCGUGCUGCGCCGCCGCCCAAGUCGGCAGGCAGCCUGCAGCGGCGGCAUCGCCAGCCAAGUUCGAUAGCAACUGCAUCUCCCCUGGCACAGCCUUCAUGGAUGCCGUGGCGGCUGCCGUGCGAGACUACAUCCGUCACAAGUUGGCGCCAAAGAAGAACGACGACGGCGGCAAGGCGGAGGCGGAGGCCGGAGCGUCUCCAGCCGCCAUCAAUGCCACCUGCGCACACUGGGCUGGCCUCACCGUCAUCUUCUCGGACUCGAACACUGCCGGCGAGGGCGAGCACAAAAUCUUCGACUUUCUGCGCACCCAGUCAGCUUUCCCCGGCUUCAACGGCAGCGGUUGUCACGUCAUCGCUGGGCUGGACGCCGACCUCAUCUUCCUCUCGCUUUCUCUGCACAUCCCGCGUGUGGUCAUCCUGCGCGACCAGAAACGGUCCAGCUACGAGCAGGCGUUGCUGCCCGACACCGCCGGCGGCACGCUCGUCACCAAGAAGGUGUCCCCGAAGGUGAAACCACGGCGAGUUCGAAGGCCGGCCGUGCCCAGCUCGUCGAUGUCGUCGAUCGGCUCGGCUGCCGCGCCGACGGCCGCGGCGGGGGACGAGGUGGCGCUCGCCAGCGGCACCGCUUCCAUGGCGGCGCCAAGCGACGACGAGGCGGACGAAUGCGGGCUUUUCUGGCGCUCUGAGGCGCCCUCGAGUCCCGCGUCGCCGGCGACCAUGGGCCCAAAGACGGCACCGCCGCAGCACGUUGCUGACAUGGUGGUUGAGCCGAGCAGUGGCUACCAGUACUUCGACAUAGACGUUGUCGGGGCGUCUGUGGUGUCGGAGGUGUAUCAACUGUGCUUGGAAAAUGGCUUGCAGCUCCGGGGCGACCCGCUCGAGUGCGCGGACAACUGCGUGUCGGCGAACGGGUUCUGUUUCUACCCCUACAAGGGCACCAGCAGCCGCGAGGUCGACGGUGGCGGCAGUGAUGAUGCGAAGGCGGCAAGGCCAGCGGCGGCAAAGGGCGGUGGAAAGCGCAGAGGGAUGCUUGACGGGAAGCCCAAGGCCCCUCCGCCGCCUUUUCACCCGUGCACCUCGAGUAGCAACUCGAAGAUCAUCGACGACUUCAUUGUGCUCGGCGUACUGCUCGGUAACGACUUCCUACCGCAUCUGCCGAGCGUCUACUGUGGGGAGAGUGCCAUGGACACGUUGAUGGAUGUCUAUGUCCGCGCAGUGCUGCCGUACGGAUACCUGACCGGCGGCGAGUACGACAUUCGGCUGCUGCAGCUGGAGCGGCUGCUUCGCGCGUACGCGGCGGUCGAGGCGGCGUGCUUUCGCCAGUUCGCUAUCCAGUCGGGGGCAAUGAAGCCACACGACGCUGCAACGCCAGAGCUCUGCUCGGCUGAGGAUCGCCGCUGCUGGCGCGACGUGUACGUGCGCACUACAUCGCUGCGCGAUGAGGCGGGGUCGCAGGCAGCGUGCAGGUCGUAUGUGGAGGGAAUGCGGUUUGUGUGGCGCUACUACAGCUCCAUAUCCCUGCAGGUGAGCUGGGCGUGGUACUACCCGUUCCACCACGCCCCGCUGGCCCUCGAUAUCGCUGAUUUUCUGCGUGCGCAAGGGCCGCAGGUGCAGACCACGCUGGCGGCACCCAAGCUAGAGUGGCAACCGCCGUCACCGUUCUGCCAGCUGCUCUGCAUUCUGCCCCCACCAAGCCGCCAGCUCGUGCCCGACGCUCUGCGUGCAACGAUGGCGUCUCCUCCAGCCGAGCUGGCGGACACGUUCCCGCACCGCUGGGUGGUCGACAGAACUGGCGCCUACGGCAAGGACCAUCUGGCGACGGUGCUCUUGCCCUUCGCAAACGUGUCGCGGCUGCAGGAGCUGGUGGCCGCUGCCAGUGGGACGUACACGGAAGCGGAGCAGCAGCGGAACGCGCUACGCUCGGGGCACCUCGUCUUCGAGGGGCGGCCGGCACAGCUCGCCAAGGACUCAACAGACGCAUCCACUGACGCUACGCCCACAACCGCAACGGCCGGAAACUUUACCGACCUCGUGGCGAGUGAAAGGGCUGACCCCGCACCUUUUCCAACGCCGCGGCGGGCCUCUCCCGCUCACAAAGAGCCGCCUGUCGCAGGGAGCACCGCAGCGAUGAUGCGCGGCUACCGCAUCCAGGGCAGCGGCCUGUCCGUGCUUUCCGCGGGGGAGAAACCGGCCGACAUGAGGGACUGCACCGCCAUCGUCUGCUCCUCUCUUGUUGAAGUUGUCCCGCCUCUGUCGCGACCGCGCACCUACUCAUACAACGUGCCCAUCCCGAGUCUGACGGUGCUCCCGGACGGCAGCCGUCUUGCGGCGGACCGGCGCUCGCAGUACAGCAAAGACGGGCGCCGGCGGCGCGACGGCAGCGGCGCUGAUCCGCCAGGCAGAAAAGCACGCGCCCGCGCGGCUUCGAACAACGCCGCCGAGGCCCAGGCCCUCACGCCCGCCAUGCUGUUUGGCGAGUUUGCCUUGUGCCUUGUUGCGACGGGUAUACUGACGGCGGAGGCGACGCUCUGGCGCUCCUCGCCCACGCCAUCUUGGCUACGGAGCUGGCCGGUCCUGCUGCAGCUGUGCGGCAUCGGCGCCGCUUUGGUCUCGCUUGCCUUCGCGCUGGGCCUCGCCGUCGCGCCCAAGGGCCGCAGCGCAGGAAGCGGGCUGCACCGCCACAGCAUCUUCACGGCCUUCGCGGACUGGCAGUGCUCGGCUUGUCUCUCCGUGAACUUCUCGCGCAACCGGCGCUGCUUCAUCUGCCGUGCACCGUACGACCCGCACCGGUGCGUGGCGCUCUUCAGCAGCCGUUAUCCUCCAGAGCCGCCCCUGAUGGACCCAGACCACUCCGCCUACGCGGCGUGCUACAGCAUCACUGCGCUUUAGAGACAACUUUUGUUGGUGAGGGAAGGAUCUGCGUGCGCCUACAACCCACGGUGCUGCGGACUGUGUGGCUGCACGUACGUGGUGUCGCGAUCGGACUUGCUAGUGAUUUCGACAUGACGAGAAACUCAAGAAGGCAAACUCAAGCAACGAAAAGCGACAGCGCACGCGCACACGCAGGGUCUGUAGCGGAGGGCUUUUGUAGAUCGACGCUGGCGGGAGGCGGAGAAGAGGGUCGCGUCCGCUUGUUCUGAAGGUGUUCGAUCAAAGCAAGACCUCUUUCUCUCUUCGUGUGUGCCAGCGCCCUCCUCCUCGUUUCCUUCAGUCCCGCUAUCUUCUCUCGCUCGCUCUGUGGCGAGACCACCUGGCGGCCUUGCGUGCCACAUCGUCCUGACUUGUGGCAGAGCCCUUGUCCCUCAACGUUUUGCGCGCACCCAUGUGCUGCUCAGCAUCGGCGUUGCUUGCCGCGCCUCGUUGACCCCUCCCCCUUGCCUAUUCGUUCUCACAUACACACAUGUAUGUCUAUGCUUCCUUGCACCUCUUGCAAGCACAGCUGUGCACGGCGAGAGCAUGUCUCUGGACUUGG
This 4403-nucleotide unclassified non-coding RNA is filed under the name Leishmania donovani. RNAcentral describes it as "gene:LdHU3.17.1750(CDS-product:5'-3'_exoribonucle ase_B-_putative)". The record is from RNAcentral. Lineage: Eukaryota; Euglenozoa; Kinetoplastea; Trypanosomatida; Trypanosomatidae.